CUGGUAUGAGUUCUGUUGUUUUCAGCGAACUGCUCUGACUCACACAUGGGGCGAGCGCUCGGAGCCAGAGAAGUGGGUGGCGAAUGAGGAAGGUGCGUGUAAGCACUUUGCCAGACUCCUAGAAACAGGAAGCGGGUAAACACCCACGGGCUGUCUACAGCCGAUCCCACUUAACGUUCUCUUAUUUAGUCAUUCAUAAAUAUUUAUUAAGUACUGACUCUACCAGGCACUGUGCUUGCUGCUGGGAGUACAAUACUGAACAGGGCAGACAAAGUCCCUGGCGUCCUGGGGCUUCCAUUCUGACUGGGGAGACAGCAAGAGGGCACUUAGAGUUCGAAGACCACGGCUGCAGGUGUCUCUCUCACUUAGUCACAGCAGCAGGACACCACACAGCUCACCACACAGCAGGACAAUGAGGAGGGUCUUAGAGCACCUGGGAUGACCGCUUCCUUUGGCAGGUGAGUCAACCAAGGCUGGAGAAGGGUUAUCCAGCGAGCGAGUCGUUGACAGGAGACUAGAAUGUCUACUCUCUGAUUCCCAAGUAAGUGCUCUUCCCGUAGGCCCUUUUGAGGAUGACUAGAAAUAUCGGGAGUGACGGAAUGUUAAGGCAGGGAAUGACAGCGCGCUGGUUACCAAGCUGGUUUCUCAGCCUCCAACCCACCCUUCCAGACUCUUCCGUAAUCCCGGGGCUCUACCG
RNAcentral lists this long non-coding RNA (697 nucleotides) under Mustela putorius furo (domestic ferret). RNAcentral describes it as "lncRNA (ENSMPUG00000029523.1)". The record is from RNAcentral. Lineage: Eukaryota; Metazoa; Chordata; Mammalia; Carnivora; Mustelidae.